AUAUAGGGCUGUGUGGGGGUUGUUGGAGGACAUGAGGCUAUAGGGCGGUAGGGUGGCUCUAGGGUUGGCUCUAGGGGUGUGCGGGGCUUUAUGGAGCUUAAUUGUAUCUCUAGGGGGGCUAUGGGGCUCUAGAAAGCUGUGGGGGACUGUAGAAGGGGUAUUGGGGUAUAUGGGAAAAGAGGGGGAUGUGGUUGGAAUCUAGGGAUCUGUGGGCAGCUAUUGGGGGAUAUGGGGCUCUAGGGUGCUGCAGGGUCUUUAGGGAGUGUUUUAGGGCUAUAUGGGGGAUAUAGGGGGAUUUGGUUCUCUAGGGGGCUGUGGGGGUAUAGGGGUGAUAUGGGUCUGUAGGGGGCUUUGGGAGGAGCUCCACGGUUCUAUGAGGGGUCUGUAAGGGCUAUAGGUGUGUUCGAGGGGGAUAUGUGGCUUUAGGGGUUUGUGGCAACAUGUGGGAGGGUUGAGGGUGCUAGGGGUUGGGGGGGGCUCUAGGGCAGGAUGUUGUGCUGUAGGAGAUUGUGGGGGCCUGAGGGAGGAUAUAGGGUGUCUGUGGGGAUAUAGGGGAGAUAUGGAGUCUAGAAGGGUUCUAGGGGGAUAUGAGGCUGGAUAUGGGAGAGUGUGGGGGGCUCUGGAGGGAGUCUAGGGCCAGUGUGGGUCUGUGGGGAGCUAUAAGGGGAGAUUGGGCUUUAGAGGCUGGGGGACUGUAGGGAGGGUCUUAGGGCUGUAGAGGGGACAUGGGGUGCUAUGUGGCUGUAGGGAGCAGGGGAAUAUUAUGACGCUGUAGGGGGCUAUUGGGAAAGCUAUAUGGUUCUAUGGAGAGGCUAUAGGAGCUUUAUAGGUGGUUAUGGGGCUUUAGGGAGCUGUGGGUGGUCUGUAGGAGGGUUCUAGUAGGGUAGGAGGCUAUAGGGGGCUGUGGAGGGGAUAUAGGGAGAUAUGGGUAGUAGUGAAUUUUUAGGGGGUUGUGGCAGGCUGUGGGAGGGUAUAGGAUGAUAGGGGGCCAGGGAGGGUCUGUAGAGAGGGAUGUUAUGCUGGAGAAGGUAUGGGGGGCUAAAAUGGGGCUUUGGGGGUUACAGAGGGGCUGUGGUGGGCUAUUUGGGGAUAUAGGGAGAUAUAAGGCUAUAGGGGGUGUUUGGAGGAUGUGGUCCUCUAAGGGGCUGUGUGGGUCCAUAGGAUGAUCUGGAGCUAUAGGGUGAUCUCUAAAGGGAUGUGGGGCGAGAAGGCUCUCCCUUCCUUCUUUCCCCCCUUUCCACAGCAGGGAGGGUGAAAUGCUAGUCAUGAAAUUGAAACUGGAACUGAAGUUGUCUUGCAAUAGAAUAUGAUGCUUUUGUGGUCUUCAAUCUGAAACGUGUUUUCUCCUUGGGCUUUAGGUAAUCUGUUUAUGUUUAAUGAUUAUGUUUAAUAAUCUAAUUUUGUUUCAUAAUGCCUUUUGAAAAGGUUUCAGUCUCACCGCGAGAUCCCUUCCAAGAGGCACUGCCCCUACUGCUGCAACGGCCCCAGUCUGGGACGCCCUUUUGUAAGGGGUUGUGUUUUUCGUUCUGCAGCUGACUUGGGUUUCUUCUGCCACUGUCCCAUGAAAGAGUUGAUUUGCUUCAGUCCAUCCCUGCUCCGUUCCUGGUUCAAGCCAAGCUCCAGUCCCUUCCCCGGUCUCAGUGGGAUCAGUUUGUUCUCUUCUCAUCCACUUACAGAAACAGAAGCUACGAACCCACCAAACCCUGGGACAGGUAUUUCCCUACAGAAGCAUUCAUGUUCUUCUUCUGGCCCCUUUGGCCAGUUCCCAGCUCUCCAAACUGAGGCGUACGGCUGCAGCCCUCCCCAUGGCUUCUUUGGGGCAGCUGUGGGGCAGCUCCACCCAGAGGAGGAGAUGCCUUUUCCCCACACGCAACUGGUUCUACAUCCACAUGAGGUGAGGACGUGGGGUCGUGUGUGACAUGGUGGUCCAGCAGUGUCAGAGUUACGGGGUGAUGUGGGGCUAUAGGCUCAGAUUGGGUGACAUGGAGUUCAUGGUCCCAUGGGGUUGUAUGGUCGGGGUGAGGUGGGGGCAGGGAUCCCAGAGUCAUGGGGACACAUGGCAUUGGAUCACAGUGUGAUGGGAGCAGGCAGAGUCAGGGAGUCACAGGGUCAUGUGGGGGUAUGGUUCCCCCAGGGCUGCGGGUCACGUGCAGCCAUGGGGUCACGCACAUACAGGGUGAUGAGGUCAUCUUGGGUUAUGGCUCAUGUGGGGUUACGGCUCAGGGCCCCACCUUUGGGCCACAGGGACGCCCAGUCUCCUCUCAAGAUGAAAUGAAACCACUCCAACACUUCCCCCCCCAACCUCUUUUUACCUCAAACUGCUCCCCACAUCCUCCCAUACUCUCUAUGUCCCCAUACUACCCCAUACCCCUGUGUCCCACCUGCAGCUCACGUCUUGUCUUCUCCUGAACAGCAUUCUGCUCCUGAAGGCUGUGUCCCCAUAUCCCCCAAUGUCCCUAUAUCCCCCCCACGGCCCCCACAGAGCCCCAUAGCUCCUCAAAAACCUUUUCCCAGUACACCUCCCCCCGGAAACCUGGGACCUCACAGAGCCCCACAGUCCCCAGCAGCAACCCACGUCCCCCUCUGAGCUCCCGCUGAACCCCCCUAUUUCCUUUCUCAGAUAUCCCUUACACCCUCAGCCCCCCCCCCUGCUUCUCGGACUCCCACAGUUUCUGAGAGGACCGCCAUCACCAUCCCAGGAUCCCCAUAUCCCACCGAUGAGGAACCCCACAUCAAUCCACAUCUCAGGAUGGGGCUUCAGCUGUGCCCCGAUGCAUUCAUUCAAGAGAGGAGAAUGAAUGAGCGUAAGGGGGCGCCUUUCCUCCUGACAUUACCCACCGCCUGCGUGUUGGCUGUGCCGUGCCAGCAGCAUUUUGUCCUCGAGCUGUGAGUGCAGGUAUGCGUGCAUACGGGGGUGUGCAGAGGUGGGGCUGAACAUCAGAGCAUGCAUUGCACGUCGCUGUGUGCACAGUGCUUGCAGGUGAAAGUUUUGCAUCUGUGUGCAUGCACAUGGCAGUGUGCAAGGCUGGAGCAGUGCUCGAGUCUUCGUGCUCGUGGGUGUGCAGAGGGAUGGGGUGCACGCUUGUGAACACAGCGCCAUGGGAGGCACUGCAAAGGAAACAGCUCCAUCCCAUCUGGAGCAGUGACAGGCAGGCAGACACUGGGGAGGGCUGCGCGGCAGAGGGACGCCCUCUGAGUGCCACAACAUGGAGCGCUGUCUGCAAGCAGAACAGUGCCGGGAUGGCAGCCUGGUGGUCCUAAGCUGCAGAGAUGCUCCUCUGGACCAACAGCCUGUCAUUUUUUCAGAAAACGCCGUCCUUUUGCUGAACUUUGCUCAUUGUACACCCGUCAUCACAGCAAAAAACGCUCGGUGCUGCCCUGGGAAACUCAGCAAUCUCCACAGCGUUGCUCUCCAAGUUAGCACGCUCAUGGCCAGGCUUUGUUCCCUGCAGCUCUUUGCAUGUGCUUUGCAGACAGUCUGUCUGUGGGCAGUGCAAAGGACUGCUGCCUCCGUUGCAUCACUGGACGACAGCAUUCGCUGACGGAGCUGUGGCAGUUCUGAGCGAGCGCCGCGAGACCAAUAACGAGGAGGUGGUGCAGCAGCUCUCCGAGUGCCGCUGGACAAAUCAGGCCUUUCGCACUCUGUGAAUCUAUAAAUUUGACUGGUUUUUAUUGACUUCGUUUGAAGGUGGAGUGCUGAGAUGGGCGGCACUCAGCGCUGCCCUGUAACGCCGCGCACUGCAGAAGCUGCUGCCUGCUGACGCUCCUCCUCUCAGUCCUUCAGCUGCAGCUUCUGCAUCAUCUCCACAAGGCUGUCCACUGCGGAGGCCUGGGAAGAAACGGAGCGAGGGUAGAAACAGGACACCACUUCCCUCGGGAUUUUACACUCUCUUCCUUUCAUGUGUGACAGACGGAGGCCCUGAGAACAAGAAGAGCCGUGUCUGUGUUCACCAAGGACUCACCUUCUGCACGUGCAGCGGCAGCUCUGAGGGCAGCCUUCUUCAGCUCCACUCUCCUCUCUUUCUGUCGCUGUCUUCUUGCUAUAGGCAAUAAACAUAGAUGAAUUCAUUUUAUCAGCAGCACAAGUGCAGAAACAUGGGUGCCGUACAAGCAUAAGGCAGCAAAAAGACGGAGGAAAUGGGACUAGGAAGCCUCCUUGUGAAUGAAAUUUCCAGGGGGACGUGCAGAAGACCACCCUGGAGUUAACGGGAAGAGAAGGGGUUACACGUUCGGGCACCUCACUGCCUUUGGACUUUGUAGCCUUCCACUCUUUUCCCCUCCACAGAGAAGGAAAAAGCAAAGCCAACCCUAAGCAAACUCAGUGUGCUCGCACAGGGAAGUGCCUCAGCACGGCGGGUACCACAGCACCUUCUCACCUCUUUGCUUGGAGCUCCGCGCUGCAGCAGGCCCAGGGUGUGCUGCUGGAGCCGGCACACAGUCUCCACUCGGCCCCCUCACUCUCUUAUUGGAAGGCAGCUGAGCUGCUGUUGGUUUCUCUUCCUCCAAGGCCUUGCGUUUAUAUCCAGCCAGGGUGCUGGAGACAGAGCGGGGGCACACGGCAGGGGAAGGUCUUCCCCCUGUGCUGGGACCUGCUCUUCUAAGAGGACCUCCAGCCUGGAGAGGAGCUUGAGCUGCUGCCUGUUGAGAAGCUCUCUCAGUAUGGACCUGCUGGACCACUUUGACAUAGAUUUUGUCAUUUCGCUCAGCACCAAUCUCUGUUAAGAAAGGAAAAACAAGGAGAUUUAAUGAGAGCCCAACACUACUUUCAGCCUGCAAAACGGGUCACAAUCCUGGGACAUCUCAUCUCAAGUGCUCACGGUCAUGGAUCAUAGGAUCUCGGCUGAACUGUGGGUUCACAUUUCUAAUCAGCACAGGAAUGCUAACUGUACAUGCCAGGGAUUAAGACCAGAACAAACACACAACGUCCACAGUCCCAGGAAAGGACGGACAGAAAGCCUCACUAGAGAGACAGUGCACCAAACCCAGGUGCCUGCUGUGUGUCUGUACCUCUCUUGGGUGCUGUGCCACACUGGGCGCUUCUGCCUUGCCUUUCUGCAAGGCUGCGCUUUGCUGGAAGGCCGCUCGCAUCAGCUUCUGGCAGAAAGGAGACAAGACAGACAUGAAGAGCAUCUCUAUGGCGGAAGAUUUGAGCACAGCCAACCACAAUCUUCUGGUCUUCAAGAGCAGUUUCUUCAGCUUGCCUUUCUGCUGCUACAACAUUAUGCCGCUUCUGCAGUCAGCACAGCUCACAAGAGCUUCUUACCUGCGGAGGCUUUGCGUUUCCAGCCUUGCCCAGCACCACUCCAUGGACGCGCAGGCUCCAUCCCUACAACAACAGAUGGUGUGUUGAUUUCACAGACACCAGCAGGCAGCAGAAGUACUGCCCAGUAUGCCCACGUCCCCCCAGAAAACAGAAAGAGGCUACUUGGACAGCCCAAACACAAACUGAUUGAGAGUUCACUUCUCACUGCUCCUUCCUGCACUCCAAAGGGAUGCUCACUUGACAUCCCCUGCAGCGCUGCACCCGCCCAGAAGGAAUACUCAAAAUUCAUUCCUCCACACUUCACGACAGAUGGCUGAAGAAACUCACUUCUGUAUGGCAUGAAGGACCGUCCGUCCCUGUUGCGUCCCUCUGUGCGCUGGAAGGCGCGGUGGGAUCUCUGGCAGCCUGCUGGCUGCUGCUCCCAACCGCGGGGAACCGCACCGCGCCGCUUCUGAAGAGAGAAAGGAAGAAACGGUGGUGGGAACGGGCAGCCAAGGCUUGCAGAGAGGUUCCAGAUGGUGCCAGAGAGGGGAUGUCAGAGUGCUGAGACACUGAUUAUCACUAAGGGAAAAGACGGCCUGAGCCACGUCCGCGUUGUUAGCCCAGGCUGUCAGCAGUGAGCGCUGAAUGCAACCGGUUACUGAGGUCACCAAGGACCAGCAGGGCUCCCCCUGCUCCAUCCAUUCCCCAUGAUAAAAAGAGAAAGGAAGAACCAAGCAGAAGAAGCCCAGCCAUACCUUGCCACUCAGACGGCAGCAAUUGGAACCGCGGUCGUCUCCGUGCUGAGACAUGGCCGCUGAAGGCUCAGAGGAAGCUGAAGGUCCCAGGCCUCUGUGCACAGGAACUUCCCCGGCCCUUGCAAAGAGCUGGCUUCCCUCUUCCUCCGACUGCCUCGAUCCCAAAAUCUCCCUUGGGACAGGAACCCUGCAGAGAGUACCGACGAGUGCACACGCGGUGCUUCUGACGGGCUCUCACAGGGUGAUCUGUUCCACGGAAGGCCCAGAGCUCAGCCUCGGUGUGCAGCACGCUCACCAGAGCACCAGCUCUGCUCACCAGCUGUGGCGGAAACGCUGCCAGCCCAGCAGUGAUUGUGACCUCAGCGAGUGCCCGCAUCGCUUCCGUGCUUUCAUCAUAAGCGAAGGAAAUGGACGACUCCCUGAUCCACAUCUUAGGAAAUCACCACCAGGGUCACCCAGUGGGGUUAUUUGAAUAAUGGAGAAGUGAAGAUGACUGUUGUGCAGCCCAGUAAAAACCAGUCAAGACCAGUAUGGCCUCAGAGUGGUCAAUGGAGUCCCAGGGGAACCCGUAGAAAACUAAACCCAGGGCCUGUGCCAGCAUCUCUGUUUGGGGCUUUGAGUCCCAGGGCUGAUUUCAGCCUCUCCGGCUGUGGCUUUAAGUCCCAGGGCCAGUGCUGGGCUCCCCGCCUGUGUCUGUGGCCUCAGGCCCUUGGCUGCUUCUGGCCUCUGCAGCUGGCAUUGUGGCUUUAAGCCCUUGGACUGGUUCCAGCCUUUCAGGCUGUGGUUUUGGUCCCCAGGAUUGGUACCAAAUUUGAAGAAACCAACAGGAGGCUCACCCAAUGGGGUUCUGUGAAGCAUCAGAACAGAGAAAUACACACGAUUGUUGUGUAGCCAGGCUGGGUCAGCCUCUCGCUCAGGUGCUGCAUGAUUCGAAGCAGGAGACGUUUCCCCCAGGCUGCAUCCUGAUUGGGGUCAUUGGAGACAAUGGGGUCAUUGGGGUCUAUGGGGACAUUGGAGUCAAUGGGGUCACUGGGGUCAAUGGGGGUCAUUGGGGUCAGUGGGGGCCAUAGGGGUCUUUGUGGUCAUUGAAUUAAAUGGGGUUAUUAGAGUGAAUGGGGUCAUUGGUGUCAGUGGGGUCAUUGGAGUAAAUAGGGUCAUUGAAGUGAAUGGGGUCAUUGGAUUCAAUCGGAUCAUAAGGGUCAAUGUGGUCCCUGCGGCAAUGGGGGUCAUUAGGGUCAAAGGGUGUUAUUGGGGUCAUUGUAGUCAAUGGAGUCAUUGGGGUCAAUUGGUUCAUUGGGGUCAAGUGGCUUAAUGCGGUCAGUGGGGGUUAUUGGAGUCAAUGGAGUCAUUGGGAUUAAUGGGGUCAGUGGGGUCAAUAGGGUCAUAUGAGCUUAAUGGGGUCACUGGGGUCAGUAGGGUUAAUGGGUUGUUGGGGUCUUAUGGGGUCAUGGGUAUCAUUAGGAUCUUUGGGAUCGGUGGGGUCAGUGGGGUCAUGUGGGGUCACUGGGCCCAUGUGGGAUCAUUGGGAUCAUGAGGAUCAGUGGGGUUAUAUGGUUCAUGUGAGGUCACUGUGGUCACUCGGUCAAAAAGGUCUAUGGGGUCAGUCGGGCCUAUGGGGUCAUUGGAGGCCAGAAGGGUUUGGGCUUCCAAGCAAUCACCAAGCUUUUGGAUGAGCCAGCCCUCUGCUUUUUGUGAGGACAGACCCCAACGAGCCCACAUAACCCGAAUAACCUCCUUGACCCCCACAGACAAGUCCUCCUUGGAAAGCCAUCUCGGCAAGGGCAGAAUAGCGCUGUUCUUGGGCCGCAGCACUCCAUGGCCAGGCGCUGCUCAGACACUGGGGCUGCAUUUCCUCCUGGGCACCCACACAUGCUGCGAUUCCCCUGCAGGUUCCUGCCGGGUUUGUGGCUUCCUGCUGGGGAACUCCUCAUCUUCUUCUGCAACUGCCCCCCAACGUCACUACUGCCUCCUCUGGUGCUGUACUGGCAGAUGCCUCAGCGUUCAUGAGCCUGGACUUCCUGCCUCCCAUCAGCAGCUGCUCCUUCAUUCAUACUGCAAUACCGUCCACUUCCAGCUCCAGCAGAGCUGCAAGGCAGAGAUGGGAAACGUGGGAUUAAUGCAAAAGCAGAAGCCCAAGGCUGUCCCACCACCACGUAUUGCAGCCUCGGAAAGUCAGCUGCAACUACAACCUCUGUCAGAAUCAAAACAGGCACCGUACAUUAAGGGUCACCUCUGAACUGAAGGAAUUACCACAGUUGGAAAUAAAUACUGAAAUUGCUCAUUUAUCUGUAGGUGGUUACCGCUGUAUUCUUUGGCUUUUGGGAAAAUGUGGACUUGGAAUUGAAGGAUACAAGGAAAAGGAGCAGCACUUGGCAACUCCUGCAAACUGAGCAGUGCGGGGAAGAUUGUGUCAUUUCUUCUCCGGGCCCACAAAUUAAGUUUCCUUCCUUACAAAGAGAAGGGAAAAAGAGCCUGACAUAAAGGAGACACAGUGCAGUCUCACCUCACACGUAGAAGAAGGAGAGCUCUCAUGGCACUAAUCAUAGAAUCACGGAAUCAUAGGAUGGCCUGGGUUGAAAAGGACGUCAAAGGUCAUUGAGUUCCAACCCCCAGCUAUGUGCAGGGUCGCCAACCACCAGACCAGGCUGCCCAGAGCCACAUCCUUGGCCCUGAAUGCCUCCAGGGAUGGGGCAUCCACAACCUCCCUGGGCAACCUCUUCCAGCGCGUCAGCACCCUCUGAGUGUAAAACUUCCUCCUAGUAGCUAAUGUAAAUUUCCCCAGUCUCCAUUGAAAAGCA
This is a long non-coding RNA of Gallus gallus (chicken), 8798 nucleotides long. The record is from Ensembl. Lineage: Eukaryota; Metazoa; Chordata; Aves; Galliformes; Phasianidae.